UACGUAGGUGGCGAGCGUUGUCCGGAUUUACUGGGCGUAAAGAGCGCGCAGGCGGUCGUGCAAGUCGCGUGUGAAAGCCCCCGGCUCAACUGGGGAGGGUCACGCGAUACUGCUCGACUCGAAGGCAGGAGAGGGAAGUGGAAUUCCCGGUGUAGUGGUGAAAUGCGUAGAUAUCGGGAGGAACAUCAGUGGCGAAGGCGACUUCCUGGCCUGUUCUUGACGCUGAGGCGCGAAAGCUAGGGUAGCAAACGGG
RNAcentral lists this ribosomal RNA (253 nucleotides) under uncultured bacterium. RNAcentral describes it as "partial 16S ribosomal RNA". It matches the Rfam family "Bacterial small subunit ribosomal RNA", at positions 524 to 776 of the family's 1533-position model. The record is from RNAcentral.